Non-coding RNA from Lentisphaerae bacterium GWF2_49_21, 48 nucleotides. NCBI's taxonomy places the organism in Bacteria, Pseudomonadati, Lentisphaerota. The record is from Rfam.
CCCAGGGCUUUCGCCCUGGGCUACAACAUGCCGCCCUCUGCGAGGGCU